GGUGGCUAUGGUGAAGGGGUCUAACACACAUGACUGUGACUCAUGCAUUCGUGGGUUCAAAUCCCACUAGCCACCCCA
Molecule: transfer RNA, 78 nt
Filed under: Geobacter sulfurreducens PCA
Lineage: Bacteria; Pseudomonadati; Thermodesulfobacteriota; Desulfuromonadia; Geobacterales; Geobacteraceae
Also listed under: 2 other names
Description: tRNA-His
Rfam family: tRNA
About the family: Transfer RNA (tRNA) molecules are approximately 80 nucleotides in length.
Source: RNAcentral